Molecule: non-coding RNA, 58 nt
Organism: Dipodomys ordii (Ord's kangaroo rat)
Lineage: Eukaryota; Metazoa; Chordata; Mammalia; Rodentia; Heteromyidae
Source: Rfam
UGGCUCAGUGGUAGAGCGCUUGCCUUGCAUGCAUGAGGCCCUAGGUUCGAUUCCUCAG